CAGUAGCCGCGGUAAUACGUAGGGUGCAAGCGUUAAUCGGAAUUACUGGGCGUAAAGCGUGCGCAGGCGGUUAUAUAAGACAGAUGUGAAAUCCCCGGGCUCAACCUGGGAACUGCAUUUGUGACUGUAUAGCUAGAGUACGGCAGAGGGGGAUGGAAUUCCGCGUGUAGCAGUGAAAUGCGUGGAUAUGCGGAGGAACACCGAUGGCGAAGGCAAUCCCCUGGGCCUGUACUGACGCUCAUGCACGAAAGCGUGGGGAGCAAACAGGAUUAGAUACCCCGGUAGUCCCUGUCUCUUAUAC
This 301-nucleotide ribosomal RNA is filed under the name uncultured bacterium. RNAcentral's name for it is "partial 16S ribosomal RNA". It matches the Rfam family "Bacterial small subunit ribosomal RNA", at positions 509 to 807 of the family's 1533-position model. The record is from RNAcentral.